RNAcentral lists this ribosomal RNA (291 nucleotides) under uncultured bacterium. Its description in RNAcentral is "partial 16S ribosomal RNA". It matches the Rfam family "Bacterial small subunit ribosomal RNA", at positions 505 to 796 of the family's 1533-position model. The record is from RNAcentral.
GUGCCAGCAGCCGCGGUAAUACGUAGGUGGCGAGCGUUGUCCGGAAUUAUUGGGCGUAAAGAGCGUGUAGGUGGGACCAUAAGUCUUAUGUAAAAGUGCGGGGCUCAACCCCGUAGCGCGUAGGAAACUGUGGUUCUUGAGUGCCGGAGAGGAAAGCGGAAUUCCCAGUGUAGCGGUGAAAUGCGUAGAUAUUGGGAGGAACACCAGUGGCGAAGGCGGCUUUCUGGACGGUGUCUGACACUGAGGCGCGAAAGCCAGGGGAGCGAACGGGAUUAGAUACCCGAGUAGUCC